RNAcentral lists this long non-coding RNA (462 nucleotides) under Physcomitrium patens. RNAcentral's name for it is "long non-coding RNA (PPAT_LNC008533)". Lineage: Eukaryota; Viridiplantae; Streptophyta; Bryopsida; Funariales; Funariaceae. The record is from RNAcentral.
GAGUGGGAGGGUCCGUGUUUGGUUGCCUCCAGGUCAAGGUGAUCUGUGGUGAAUGGUGCUGGUAGUUCUGCCUGGAGGGUGCGGAUGGUGCGCAAUUACAGUGGCUUUUUGUUUGAGUGCGUGUGUUGGUAUGCGUCUGUCGGGAGACUUGAUUUGUGGGUUGACUUCAUUUGGUGAGUUGUUGAGCAGCUGUUUCUUUCUAUUUUUCCAUCCUUUUCUUCCUCCGAUUGGCAUAUUAAAUCCAUGCUAAAUGAAUGCUAAGUUUGAUUAAGAAAAGUUAAUAGUAGCAGUGAGUACUUUAGAUGAUUCAAGUCAUGUUAAUGUCAUCUAAUAGUAUUUUGCUGCAGAAAACAGUCUUAUUGGAGGUCGUGAGAGUUUCACAAAUUUAUUUGGUAGGGGAAUUGACAUAAUAAUUGGAUCAAUGCAUUGAAAGAAGAAUCAAAUCAAUCUUGUAGCAAAUUU